GGGGCGUUAGCUCAAUGGUAGAGCAACUGCCUCUUAAGCAGUGGGUUACAGGUUCGAGUCCUGUACGCCCCA
Molecule: transfer RNA, 72 nt
Filed under: Candidatus Kerfeldbacteria bacterium
Lineage: Bacteria; Candidatus Kerfeldiibacteriota
Description: tRNA-Lys
Rfam family: tRNA
About the family: Transfer RNA (tRNA) molecules are approximately 80 nucleotides in length. Their secondary structure includes four short double-helical elements and three loops (D, anti-codon, and T loops).
Source: RNAcentral